GAUGAACGCUGGCGGCGUGCCUAAUACAUGCAAGUCGAGCGAACAGACGAUGAGCUUGCUCCUCUGACGUUAGCGGCGGACGGGUGAGUAACACGUGUAUCACCUACCUAUAAGACUGGGAUAACUUCGGGAAACCGGAGCUAAUACCGUAGAAUAUAUUGAACCGCAUGGGUGAAUAGUGAAAGACGGUUUUUGGGGCACUUAUAGAGGGAUCCGGGCCGUAUUGGCUAGUUGGGAGGGUCAUGGCUUUCCAAGGCAACGAUGCGUGUGCGACGGGACGGGGUGAUAGGCGACCCUAGAAGUGGACCGCGGACAAGACUACUAAGGGAGGCAGCAGUAGGGAACGGUACGCAGUGGGCGAAAGCCUGGCGCAGCAGGGGCGCGCGAGUGAUGAAGGUCUCCGGAUCGGAAAGCCCUGCUACUAGGGAAGAACAACUGUGGAAGUAAACAUGCACGGCGUGACGGUACCGAAUAAGAAAGCACCGGCUAACUACGUG
Molecule: ribosomal RNA, 497 nt
Filed under: uncultured bacterium
Lineage: Bacteria
Description: partial 16S ribosomal RNA
Rfam family: Bacterial small subunit ribosomal RNA
Source: RNAcentral